GAUGAACGCUGGCGGCGUGCCUAAUACAUGCAGGUCGAGCGAACGGACGAGAAGCUUGCUUCUCUGAUGUUAGCGGCGGACGGGUGAGUAACACGUGGAUAACCUACCUAUAAGACUGGGAUAACUUCGGGAAACCGGAGCUAAUACCGGAUGAUAUUUUGAACCGCAUGGUUCAAAAGUGAAAGACGGUCUUGCUGUCACUUAUAGAUGGUUCCGCGCUGCAUUAGCUAGUUGGUAAGGUAACGGCUUACCAAGGCAACGAUGCAUAGCCGACCUGAGAGGGUGAUCGGCCACACUGGAACUGAGACACGGUCCAGACUCCUACGGGAGGCAGCAGUAGGGAAUCUUCCGCAAUGGGCGAAAGCCUGACGGAGCAACGCCGCGUGAGUGAUGAAGGUCUUCGGAUCGUAAAACUCUGUUAUUAGGGAAGAACAUAUGUGUAAGUAACUGUGCACAUCUUGACGGUACCUAAUCAGAAAGCCACGGCUAACUACGUG
This 497-nucleotide ribosomal RNA is filed under the name uncultured bacterium. RNAcentral's name for it is "partial 16S ribosomal RNA". It matches the Rfam family "Bacterial small subunit ribosomal RNA", at positions 28 to 507 of the family's 1533-position model. The record is from RNAcentral.